GGGGGUGUAGCUCAGAUUGGUUAGAGCGCCGGCCUGUCACGCCGGAGGUCGCGGGUUCGAGUCCCGUCACUCCCGCCA
RNAcentral lists this transfer RNA (78 nucleotides) under Alphaproteobacteria bacterium. RNAcentral's name for it is "tRNA-Asp". It matches the Rfam family "tRNA". From Rfam's summary of the family: Transfer RNA (tRNA) molecules are approximately 80 nucleotides in length. Lineage: Bacteria; Pseudomonadati; Pseudomonadota; Alphaproteobacteria. The record is from RNAcentral. RNAcentral also lists the same sequence under 1 other name.